Long non-coding RNA from Equus quagga, 1220 nucleotides. RefSeq lists it as uncharacterized. The record is from RefSeq and is a predicted model, not a curated record. The transcript has 3 exons. Lineage: Eukaryota; Metazoa; Chordata; Mammalia; Perissodactyla; Equidae.
CGUGCACCCGCCGCUCAGGCCCCGCGGUCCUCCCGGCGCCGCGGCUCAACGCGGGCCCCACGGACUGGACGCGAGGCAGGGUAGCGGGGACCUCGGGAAUGGAUAGAGAAGGAAAUUCAGCAAAGUCCAAGGAACGGGGGAUGGUCCAACAAGUUGUUGGGAGUAAAGUGUCGCCCAUCAAUCAUGGUAUAUUCAACUCACCCCAAAGAAGUCAAGAUUAUGUUUACAGCCUAAGAGGAGGGGUUCUAUUUCAUCCUCUGCAGUACAAUAUUCCUGGCUGUGAGGCUUGCAGUUCCACUUGGGGGAAGGAAUCUUUGUAUAAACUGUAGUACUUUUCUUUGUUCACAAUUUUUCUCGACAGUUUUUUUAAUAAUAUUUAGAGGCUAUAUUGAUUUCCAUCUUAUGCCAUAACUACACUGAUUUGAAAAGUACAUAUAUAGCUAUACCAUGCAUAAAAAUAUACCACCAAGAACUCGCCAUGUAUCCAGUUGUAGAGUUACAAGUUCACUUCGGGGAGGGGGUGAGAAGGUGGAAAGAAAACACACCCCACCCCCACCAUUUUUCACUUAGCUGGUUUCUCAUCCUUUCUGUCCCAUCCAACUGAAACUGUGCCUUCCCGGCACCAACCCCUAUCUCAGCACUUUGUGCGUUUCCUUCAUUAUACGAUUUGUAAAUAUUCACUUAUGAAGUUUUUGAAAGAAAAUCUGUCUUCCCCACUAGAAUCUCAUCUUUUUAAGGGCAGGGAUUAUAUCUGUCUUGAUAACAGUUGUUUUCUCAGAACUAGCACAGUGUUUGGCAUGAGUUGGUACUCAAUAAACGUUUACUGAAUGGCUGAAUAUGGAGCUGGUCACAUACAUACCUUGCAUGUGUUAAACUGUUUUCCAGGACAAAAAAGAGUAUGAUAUCAUUCAAAUUCCAUGAAGAAUUUUGUCAAAUCUUGGCUCGUAAGUCAUGUUACAAAUGUCCUUGACAGGUCACCCCUGGUUUAUGGUCCACAUGAACAAUGUGAAUGCCUUGGUAGAUGACAUAAAUUUUCUAAGUAUAAAUAGUAAAAGUGGUUAAAACUGUAUAUCAAAUAUAAUUUUGAGUAAGCUACAUUUACAUACGUAACCCCUCUGUUUCAUAAACAAAUUAUUUCUUGUUAAUACCUGAUAAUUCAUGAACCAGGUUGACUACUAAGGAAUGCACAGAUGUAGUUUAUAACCACUACGUGCAAUUAG